RNAcentral lists this ribosomal RNA (255 nucleotides) under uncultured bacterium. RNAcentral's name for it is "partial 16S ribosomal RNA". It matches the Rfam family "Bacterial small subunit ribosomal RNA", at positions 524 to 776 of the family's 1533-position model. The record is from RNAcentral.
UACGUAGGGUGCGAAGCGUUGUCCGGAAUUAUUGGCGUAAAGAGCUUGUAGGCGGUUUGUCGCGUCAUGCGUGUGAAAUUUCGGGGCUCAACCCCGAACUUGCAGUGGUACGGGCAGACUAGAGUGUGGUAGGGGAGACUGGAAUUCCUGGUGUAGCGGUGAAAUGCGCAGAUAUCAAGGAGGAACACCGAUGGCGAAGGCAGGUCUCUGGGCCACUACUGACGCUGAGAAGCGAAAGCAUGGGGAGCGAACAGG